This 468-nucleotide ribosomal RNA is filed under the name uncultured bacterium. RNAcentral describes it as "partial 16S ribosomal RNA". The stretch from base 55 to 468 matches the Rfam family "Bacterial small subunit ribosomal RNA", at positions 39 to 507 of the family's 1533-position model. The record is from RNAcentral.
GGGGGGGGGGGGGGGGGGGGGGGGGGGGGGGGGGGCGGGGGGGGGGGCGGGGCUGUGGGGGGGUGCUCGGGUGGCGGGCGGGUGCGUAACGGGUGGGUAACCUGCCCUUGGCUUGGGGAUAGCUGCAGGGACGUGGGGCUGAUGCCGGCUGGGAGCUGCUGCUGCAUGGUGGGGGUGGGAACGUUUCGGCGGUGUGGGAUGGACUCGCGGCUUAUCAGCUUGUUGGUGGGGUAGUGGCUUACCAAGGCUGUGACGGGUAGCCGGCCUGAGCGGGUGAACGGCCACAGUGUGACUGAGAUACGGCCCAGACUCCUACGGGAGGCAGCAGUGGGGAAUAUUGCACAAUGGGCGGAAGCCUGAUGCAGCCACGCCGCGUGCGGGAUGACGGCCUUCGGGUUGUAAACCGCUUUCGCCUGUGACGAAGCGUGAGUGACGGUAAUGGGUAAAGAAGCACCGGCUAACUACGUG